RNAcentral lists this ribosomal RNA (165 nucleotides) under uncultured bacterium. RNAcentral describes it as "partial 16S rRNA". It matches the Rfam family "Bacterial small subunit ribosomal RNA", at positions 355 to 512 of the family's 1533-position model. The record is from RNAcentral.
UGGGGAAUAUUGGACAAUGGGCGAAAGCCUGAUCCAGCCAUGCCGCGUGUGUGAAGAAGGUCUUCGGAUUGUAAAGCACUUUAAGUUGGGAGGAAGGGCAGUAAGUUAAUACCUUGCUGUUUUGACGUUACCGACAGAAUAAGCACCGGCUAACUCUGUGCCUAG